Long non-coding RNA from Gavia stellata (red-throated loon), 640 nucleotides. RefSeq lists it as uncharacterized. The transcript has 4 exons. The record is from RefSeq and is a predicted model, not a curated record. NCBI's taxonomy places the organism in Eukaryota, Metazoa, Chordata, Aves, Gaviiformes, Gaviidae.
GGUGGUGGGUAUCACAGUUUUUCUGUUGUUUUAAGAUGCUUUUUCUGUCGUCUACCUGAAGCUCAAGACUCUAUUCUUCCCCAACAGCAUCCUGGCAUGGCAGGUGGUCCUGGUGCGCGGGAUGGCUGGUGACUGCCUCGGCUCGGCAACGUUGGGCAGGGUUGCUUGAUGUUUAGGAGCGCCCUCAGCCGAUGGCCUGCCCGCUGGAUAGACCCGAGGAAUUACUCGCUUAAUGGAAAAGGCCAAGAUCUUCUGAGCCCCUGUGCGCCGUGAAGGGGUUCGGUUUGCUUUCCGUAGGGCCUAAAUCGUGGGGAAGCUGUGGUGUGGAACACGUCUAAGUGGAGCAUGGAGCUGAGCUGAGCCGGUCCCUGAGGGUUUCAGUGCUGCAGUGCAAGACUUAAUUCUUUUCCAGCCCUCUCUGGAAGCGGGAGCUCCCCCAGGUGGGAAGAGCUGCUCCUGUGCUCCACUCACCACGGGGAGAGGGAACUUCUUUGGCUCCGGGUGCUGCUCAAGCUCCCGUUUAAACAUUCUGCAUGGAAGAGCGGUCACUUCCUUGGAGUUUUCUCAGGAGAAGAGCUUGGGGGAGGGUCUGGACAUAAAACAUUUUGAGGGUGAAUAAACACAAUCACUUGAAACUCUU